Molecule: RNA transcript, 5449 nt
Organism: Macadamia integrifolia
Lineage: Eukaryota; Viridiplantae; Streptophyta; Magnoliopsida; Proteales; Proteaceae
Gene name: probable leucine-rich repeat receptor-like protein kinase At1g35710
Source: RefSeq, a predicted model, not a curated record
UGGAUUAGGGGUCUCUUCCUCUCAGUCGUCAUCAAGUGAAACAGAGGCUCUACUCAAAUGGAAAGCCACUCUCCAAAACUACUCUGUCCCUGCUCUCCGUUCUUGGAAGCUUACAUCAUCAUCCUCAGCACCAAUCCCCUGCUGCAACUGGUUUGGUAUAACUUGUAACAAAGCCCGAACCAGCGUGGUUGAGAUUAGCCUUCCAGGACUGGAGCUGCAAGGUACGCUUCACAACUUCACCUUCUCUUCCUUUCCCAAUCUCUUCCUUCUCAAUCUCAGCCUCAAUGGACUCACAGGACCCAUACCAGAUCAAAUUGGUAGACUCUCCAAACUGAUCACCCACCUCGAUCUCAGUGGCAAUGAACUCAGCGGUCCAAUACCUUACGCAAUGGGAAAUCUGGUAAAUUUGGUUAUGUUGGGCCUAGAUACAAACAACCUCAGUGAUCCAAUCCCUAAUUCUCUGGCUAAUUUAACUAGACUAGAGACCCUCUAUUUGCAUGGCAAUCAAUUAUCUGGUCCAAUGCCUUCUGAAAUUGGAGAUAUGAAAAAUCUGGUUCACUUGGCACUACAAAAAAACAAAUUCAGUGGUCCAAUCCCUCAUUCUUUGGCUAAUUUAACUAGACUGAAGAGCCUCCAUUUGUACAACAAUCAAUUAUCUGGUCCAAUGCCUUCUAAAGUCGGAGAUAUGAAAAAUCUGGUUGACUUGGAGCUAUCUCAAAACAACCUCAGUGGUCCAAUCCCUCAUUCUCUGUCUAAUUUAACUAGACUAGAGUUCCUCGAUUUGGAUUCGAAUCAAUUAUCUGGUCCAAUGCCUUCUGAAAUCAGAGAUAUGAAAAAUCUGAUUGACUUGUGGCUAUUUGAAAACAACCUGAGUGGUCCAAUCCCUCAUUCUCUGCCUAAUUUAACUAGACUAGAGACCCUCUAUUUGUAUUCGAAUCAAUUAUCUGGUCCAAUGCCUUCUGAAAUCGGAGAUAUGAAAAAUCUGGUUGACUUGGCAUUACAACAAAACAACCUCAGUGGUCCAAUCCCUUAUUCUCUGGCUAAUUUAACUAGACUAAAGAGUCUCCAUUUGUACGACAAUCAAUUAUCUGGUCCAAUGCCUUCUGAAAUCGGAGAUAUGAAAAAUUUGAUUGACUUGUGGCUAUCUCAAAACAACCUCAGUGGUCCAAUCCCUCAUUCUCUGUCUAAUUUAACUAGACUAGAGUUCCUCGAUUUGGAUUCGAAUCAAUUAUCUGGUCCAAUGCCUUCUGUAAUCAGAGAUAUGAAAAAUCUGAUUGACUUGUGGCUAUUUGAAAACAACCUGAGUGGUUCAAUCCCUCAUUCUCUGUCUAAUUUAACUAGACUAGAGACCCUCUAUUUGUAUUCGAAUCAAUUAUCUGGUCCAAUGCCUUCUGAAAUCGGAGAUAUGAAAAAUCUGGUUGACUUGGCAUUACAACAAAACAACCUCAAUGGUCCAAUCCCUUAUUCUCUGGCUAAUUUAACUAGACUGAAGAGUCUCCAUUUGUACGACAAUCAAUUAUCUGGUCCAAUGCCUUCUGAAAUCGGAGAUAUGAAAAAUUUGAUUGACUUGUGGCUAUCUCAAAACAACCUCAGUGGUCCAAUCCCUCAUUCUCUGUCUAAUUUAACUAGACUAGAGACCCUCUAUUUUGAUUCUAAUCAAUUAUCUGGUCCAAUGCCUUCUGAAAUCGGAGAUAUGAAAAAUUUGAUUGACUUGGAGCUAUAUCAAAACAACCUCAGUGGUCCAAUCCCUCAUUCCCUGUCUAAUUUAACUAGAUUGAAGAUCCUCUCUUUGUAUGGCAAUCAAUUAUCUGGUGUCAUAGCUCAAGAUUUUGGUAGCCAAGCAUUUAUUGUAAAAUUCCAGUUGUCCGACAACCUCUUAUCUGGAAGCUUACCUCAACAAAUAUGCAAAGGGAGAUCACUUCAAAGAUUUUCGGUUGAGAACAAUAGUCUUACAGGUCCUAUUCCAGACUUAAGAAAUUGCCCAAGUUUAAGUAGAGUUCGACUUGAAAACAACCAAUUUGUAGGAAAUAUAACUGACAGUUUUGGUGUACAUCCACAUCUUUAUUACAUUGAUAUGAGUCACAACAGACUAUAUGGAGAGUUGUCACCAAAUUGGGGAAAAUGUAAGAAUUUGACAUUUCUAAAGAUUUCUGGAAACAAUAUUAGUGGAAAGAUACCACACGAAAUUGGUCAGUUAACACGACUUGGACUACUUGACCUUUCUUUCAACAAACUUAUUGGUGAGAUACCAAUGGAAUUGGGUAGUUUAUCCACUUUGUUACACUUGAAUUUAAGUGGCAACCAUAUUUCAGGGCAUGUACCAGUUGAAAUUGGUAAAUUAAUCAAUUUGGUGCUUCUUGACCUCUCGGCAAACAGGUUAAUUGGAUCAAUCUCAGUUCAGCUUGGUCAAUGCUCCAAAUUGCUGUCAUUAAAUUUGAGCUGGAAUUCAUUGAAUGGAAGCAUUCCAUCUCAAAUUGGUGAUCUAGUAUCCUUACAAAUUCAAUUGGACCUUAGUCAUAACUCAAUUAGUGGAUCGAUACCACCUGAGCUUGCAAAGUUGAUGAUGCUGGAAAUUUUGAACUUAUCCCAUAAUAUGAUCACAGGCUCAAUACCUUUUUCUCUUGAAAAUAUGGUUAGCUUAGUAUCUCUUGAUCUAUCCUACAAUGAGUUAGAGGGUGUUGUUCCCAACACUAGGGUUUUUAGAAAUGCUUCUUCACCUCAAGCAUUUAGAAACAAUAAGGGGUUAUGUGGUGAACUUCAAGGUCUACUUCCUUGCAAUCCAUCUCUUACAAGCAAAGGAUUGACAAAAAAUGGAUAUAAAGUUGUCAUAUCCAUCGUUGCUUCUUUUAUAGGAAUUGUGUUCCUAAUAUUUGCAAUUAUCGGCAUUUUCUUCCUCUUGCGAAAAAAAGUGAAAAAGGAGAAUAUAGAACAGGCAAGAAGAAACCAUGGAAAUGUAUUUUCAAUAUGGAAUUUUGAUGGAAAGAUUGCUUAUGAGGACAUUAUUCAAGCAACAGAGGAUUUUGAUGCCAAAUAUUGCAUUGGAAUUGGAACUUAUGGGAGUGUUUACAAAGCAGUGUUACCUACUGGCCAUGUAGUCGCCUUGAAGAAGUUCCAUCCGUUGGAAGGUGAGAUGAUAGUUGAUGAUGAAAGCUUUGGGAAUGAGAUUCGUGUGUUAAUAGAAAUAAGUCAUCGAAACAUAGUCAAACUUUAUGGAUUCUGCUUUCAUCCGCGAUGCAUGUUUCUUGUUUAUGAGUACAUGGAAAAAGGAAGCAUAGCACGUAUCUUAAGCAAUCAAGCAGAGGCUAUUGAGUUUGAUUGGCAGAAAAGAGUAAAUGCCAUCAAAAGUGUGGCCAAUGCUUUGUCUUACUUGCAUCAUGAUUGCAUUCCCCCAAUAAUUCAUCGGGAUAUUUCAAGCAAAAAUAUAUUGCUGGACUUGGACCUUGAGGCUCAUGUAUCUGAUUUUGGCAUUGCAAGAUUAUUAAAGCCAGACUCAUCUAAUUGGACGUCACUUAAAGGAACUCAUGGAUAUAUUGCUCCAGAGCUUGCAUACACCAUGGCUUUAACUGAGAAGUGUGAUGUAUAUAGUUUCGGAGUAGUGGCAUUAGAAACAAUUAUGGGAAAGCAUCCAAGGGAGCUCAUCUCAUCCUUAACAUCAUUAGUUGGCCAAAAGAUUCUACUAAGGGACAUGUUAGACCCAUGCCUCACCUUUCCAUCAGACCAAAAUGUUGCAAAGGAUGUGGUUUCUAUUGUGAGAAUAGCACUUGCAUGUUUACGCAAUCACCCACAUUCCCACCCAAAUAUGCAUCAAGUAUCAAAAAAGCUACUUUUUCUCCAACCAUCAUUUGUGGAGAAUUUUCAUACAAUUACUGUAGGUGACCUAAAUGCUAUUGAAAUACAAUAAUUAUGAUCGACGGCUCAUUUGACCAACAGGGGACUGACACGAUUUGUUUAAGACCACAAUCAAAAUUAAACAAUAAAUCUCAAGGUUAGCAUUUUGUUAAUUUCAUGGUUAUCAAUCCAUUUCAUUCCAAAACUAUAUCAUCCUUUUGGGCUUUUGAUAGGGAUGGCAUGGCUAAAGUCCUCACUGUGUAGACCAUAGAGCCGAUCUUUAUUUCUUUGGAGAGGGAAUAUGAAUAAUUCAAGGUUGUAAGGUGUUCUGAGGCUGGAUAAAAAAAAGAGGAAGUCAGUUGCGACUUCCGCAGCAGAAGAAAGAGAGGAGAAGGAGAGGGAGAGACGUAUUUAUUGUAAAAGAGGUUCACUUUAGGUAGUAGUGCCCUGAAGUGAGUGAAACCCCAGCUGAAAUUUUCGAGUUAAUUGAUUGACAUUUGGAAAACUGCAUCAUCCAUGUGAUACUCAUGGUUCGGCUGAUGGCUAUGCCAAAGGUACAUGAGUCAUAUGAGUUUUCUUUGGUUGUCUUAAGUUUUGUUGAUGGCCAUGCCGAAGGUGGAGUGUUAAAUCAAUUCUGUAUUUUUUCCCACUUAGGUAUGCAUAGAUUUUAAUCUUUUGUACAUCCUAAUCUAUUAUUAAUAGAAUCUUUUGCUGACCUUUAGCUAGAAAAAAAUAUUGUUCCAUUUUUUCUCUAAUAUAUGACUUGUGUAGCAGGUAUUUCUUGGAAAAAAUGGUGUUCGAGAUGCCAUUGUGAAUUAAAAAAAGAGGACAAAUUAUUAAAAAACAGAGGAAAGAAGUUUCGGUUGAAGGGGGAAACAGGAAUAGCAGCUGCACUUUCAGCUUAUUGUCAUGCAGAGCUUUCUAGCCGCUGGAAGUGCCUACCAUUGUUCAUAUAUUCCUGGGCUUGAUGUUGGGGUUGUCUCAUGUUCUGCAAUUCUCGUAUUUGUGGUCACUCGAUCUUUUGUGUGGGAAUUAAGGAGUAGUGUUGGAAGGAAGGGGGCACACAAGAGUUAAGGCUGCCUAAGAGUCCUCUUUCACCCGUACACUGAAGGUUAGGUGGUGAGACUUCUUUGGAGAUCUGCAUAUGGAUUGUGUAUGCAAGUUGUUUACUGACUAAACUCUCUCUCUUUCUGUUUCUAUAUAAAAGUGGGGGAGUGAGAGGGUAAUGUAUAAAGGUAAAUAUAUUUCUGAUUCUCAAACCAUGAAGCUGUCUUCUUGUGAGAUCUCUUUUUUACUUUGGUCUUUGUGAGGACGAAAGAGGGGAGGAAAGAUGGAAGAGAAGGCGUUAUCUUGUAUUGGGUUGUGGCAUGACGGUGUUCUCUCUGUCAAGGAAAGAAAGAAAGGUACUGAGUCUUUUCUGUAUUUUUUAAUGACAUGUUUGAAGGUGACGGUACUAUAAUUUUGUGAAUCCACCUUUGUUUGGUGAGUUUCUUUGUAACCCAAGAUGUAAUUUUUUCUCUUGAUAUUUUGGUAGCCUCUAUAUUGUCUAGAGAGGAGAUCUUGUAACCUCUUUACUAUUAUAGUGAAAGUUUUUUCCUGGACGAGGUCCCGUGGUUUUUUC